GUUGUCAUGGCUGUCGUCAGCUCGUGUCGUGAGAUGUUCGGUUAAGUCCGCUAACGAGCGCAACCCUCGUCGUAUGUUAUAUGUGUCAUACGAGACUGCCGGUAAAAAGCCGGAGGAAGGUGAGGAUGAUGUCAAGUCAGCAUGACCCUUUAUAUCCAGGGCUACACACACGCUACAAUGGUCUGUACAAUGGGUAGCCAAGCCGCGAGGCGGAGCCAAUCCUGAAAGCAGGCCUCAGUUCAGAUUGCAGUCUGCAACUCGACUGCAUGAAGCCGGAGUUGCUAGUAACCGCAGGUCAGCAAUACUGCGGUGAAUACGUUCCCGGGUCUU
This 330-nucleotide ribosomal RNA is filed under the name uncultured Anaerolineaceae bacterium. Its description in RNAcentral is "bacterial SSU rRNA". It matches the Rfam family "Bacterial small subunit ribosomal RNA", at positions 1040 to 1382 of the family's 1533-position model. The record is from RNAcentral. Lineage: Bacteria; Bacillati; Chloroflexota; Anaerolineae; Anaerolineales; Anaerolineaceae.